This 26-nucleotide non-coding RNA is filed under the name Homo sapiens (human). Lineage: Eukaryota; Metazoa; Chordata; Mammalia; Primates; Hominidae. The record is from RNAcentral.
GAAUGGUGGCUCCAGGGACUGAGGGA